AGUGAACGCUGGCGGUAGGCCUAACACAUGCAAGUCGAACGGCCGCACAGUAAGCGCUUGCUCUUACGGGUGGCGAGUGGCGGACGGGUGAGGAAUACAUCGGCAUCUACUUUUUCGUGGGGGAUAACGUAGGGAAACUUACGCUAAUACCGCAUACGUCCUACGGGUGAAAUCAGGGGAUCUUCGGACCUUGCCCGAUUGAAUGAGCCGAGGUCGGAUUAGCUAGUUGGAGGGGUAAGGGCCCACCAAGGCAACGAGCCGUAGCUGGUCUGAGCGGAGGAUCAGCCAAACUGGAAUUGAGACACGGUCCAGACUCCUAGGGGAGGCAGCAGUGGGGAUUAUUGGACAAUGGGCGCAAGCCUGAGCCAGCCAGCCCGGGUGGGUGAAGAAGGCUUUCGGGUGGUAAAGCCCUUUUGUUGGGAAAGAAAAGCAGCAGGUUAAUACCCCGCUGUUCUGACGGUACCCAAAGAAUAAGCACCGGCUAACUUCGU
RNAcentral lists this ribosomal RNA (491 nucleotides) under uncultured bacterium. RNAcentral describes it as "partial 16S ribosomal RNA". It matches the Rfam family "Bacterial small subunit ribosomal RNA", at positions 29 to 506 of the family's 1533-position model. The record is from RNAcentral.